This 733-nucleotide long non-coding RNA is filed under the name Mus pahari (shrew mouse). RNAcentral describes it as "predicted gene 16010 (MGP_PahariEiJ_G0002313.1)". Lineage: Eukaryota; Metazoa; Chordata; Mammalia; Rodentia; Muridae. The record is from RNAcentral.
CUCCCUGCUUCCCAGAGCAAAGUCCUGAGCCACCUAUUCUCUCCAAGUUUGUCUCGCAGCCAGGCUGGGGACCGUCCGCGAGCGACUCCCGGACCGGGCAAUCAGUCUUCCCUGUUCCAGUGUCAGAGACGAACAAUCGCCACCAGUGGCUGCUGAGUGCUAGAGGCUUUACUCCCACAGCUCCAAAAGCAACAGACGAGCAGACCCCAAUGAAUUAGUCCUCGCCACAUAGAUGAAGCAGCUCUGGGAAAUUGGAAUGAUGUGCUUGGACUCACAAGGCUAAUAACGGAGAGCAGCGGUUUCAAAUCUACAGUACUAGAGGCUGACCUCAACGCAACGCCCGAAGCUGGGCGCAAACCAACCAGUUCGGAAUGCCACAAUUCACGGAGACAUUCCCACGGACCGGGACCAUAGAGUCCCCAAAAGCACCGGGUGUGACCGGUACUGGCGGAUGAUCACCCCUCAGCUGGAGAACACUUACCAUAAAAGAGAGGGCGAGCGCCUGCCUGGGAGGAAUCCCCAGCGCUGGCAGGUCCGGGACUCCCGGGAGAGAGGUCUGCUGCCACUGCCGCCCACGCAGGGGCGCCCGAGCGACCCCGCGGAUGCUGGCUGCUGCUUCUCAGCCAGCGGCGCGUCCUCCCGACUUGUACCCGGCGGCAGCGCCCUCUCUCUCCGCAGGGUGCCCUGGAGUUAGGGACGUUCUUGGAGAAGUUGACGCUCGGGAGAGGCCGCC